AGUGAACGCUGGCGGUAGGCCUAACACAUGCAAGUCGAACGGCAGCACAGUAAGAGCUUGCUCUUACGGGUGGCGAGUGGCGGACGGGUGAGGAAUACAUCGGAAUCUACUUUUUCGUGGGGGAUAACGUAGGGAAACUUACGCUAAUACCGCAUACGACCUACGGGUGAAAGCAGGGGACCUUCCGACCUUGCGCGAUCGAAUGAGCCGAUGUCGGAUUAGCUAGUUGGCGGGGUAAAGGCCCACCAAGGCGACGAUCCGUAGCUGGUCUGAGAGGAUGAUCAGCCACACUGGAACUGAGACACGGUCCAGACUCCUACGGGAGGCAGCAGUGGGGAAUAUUGGACAAUGGGCGCAAGCCUGAUCCAGCCAUACCGCGUGGGUGAAGAAGGCCUUCGGGUUGUAAAGCCCUUUUGUUGGGAAAGAAAAGCAGCAGGUUAAUACCCCGCUGUUCUGACGGUACCCAAAGAAUAAGCACCGGCUAACUUCGUG
RNAcentral lists this ribosomal RNA (492 nucleotides) under uncultured bacterium. RNAcentral describes it as "partial 16S ribosomal RNA". It matches the Rfam family "Bacterial small subunit ribosomal RNA", at positions 29 to 507 of the family's 1533-position model. The record is from RNAcentral.